AGCUUCACCAGCCUGAGUGACCUGAUGAGAAAUCUCUUCCUGUGAAAGCUGAGGGGAAGGACUUAGGAGUUUCAGCUUCUAGACACCCAGUGGGUGAUGUUACAAAUAUUCGAGGAUCAUCUUCAUAUGAUUGACAGAGCAGGGAAAGAGAGAGAGGCCCAUUCUAUGAAUCUCACAGGAGGUGACAACGAGGUACCUGAAUAGAACAGCUUGGCACAGGCAGGACUGAGAAUCCUCUUGAAAAACCAUGACUGCACAGGCCCCAUCCACGCUGUCUGUGGCAGGUCAGCUGGCUUGGAGAAAACAGCACUCCUCCACGUGACAGUCCUCACAUGCUGCAGACCUGAGAGGGAAAUCCUCUGGAUUCUGACAGCGCUCCUGGGGCUCAGCCCCGGCCCAGCCCUGAGGCUGCCGUGGGAAGAGAGCCUGGAGAGGCUGCGUGGUGCUGCCAUUGCUUCUCCAGGGACCAGAGAGAGCUGCAGCCUGAACGCCUUUGUUCUUCUCAUCCCCCGUGGCCUCUGCUGACUGGAGCCUCAGAAACCCAGCCUGGCCUUUCCCUCUUUCUCCUCACUCACCCGCUCCUCACUCCCUCCCGCUUACUUCCACAUGUUAUUGGAGAGCAGAGCGCUUCUUAAACCUCACAGUCACCCAGAGUUUGUUCCCCAGUAUUGUUACUGCUCUACAGGAGUCAGUUCCUAUCCCUCCCAUUCUCUCAUGCUCCUCUCUCGCUUUCUCAGAUUCUCCUGCUUGUGUUCCUUCCCGUGUCUACAAAGGCAGGAGAGAGAGGAAGGCCAGCAGAGGGCAAAGAGCACCAGAGCUGAAUCAGGAGACAGAGGAGCUGUGUGGGUUUGGUCACUGAUGUGUAUGACUUUGGGCAAACAGUACAUUCUUGUCUGGGCACCAGUGUUGUCAUCUGCAGACGGAGUUGGGUGCCCCCAGGGCAGAAACCCAAUGCCACAUGUUGUGUCGGUAUUGGUGCCAUGAGGAUGCAAAGAAUAAGUCUGUCCUGGCUUUUACAAACUUACUGAGUAAUGUCAUAUUCUUUAUGACACACACACACACAUAUAUUCAGAUAGAGAGAUAAAUUGAUAGAUAAUUACUGGGGGGAGAAAACUGGAUAAAUGAAGGAUCUUAUAGUCCACUGAAUCCAAUAAAAUCUUGCAGAGAGAAUGAACCAGAUUCAUCCUUUCCUUGAAUUCACUUGACCUGCUCCUUGUGUUCAGGUGUGGCGCUCCACCCCAGUUUUUCACCAUUGAUUGAAAUAAGGAAGCACUUAAAGCUGGUUUUGUUUUGUUUUUUUUUUUUGCCGCCACAACGAUCUGCGGCUGGUUCCUGCUUGUGGCAAAAAAACGAUCUUAACCAGAUGAUUGAAGGGCAUGGGAUACACAGCACAAAUCAGAACUGUAAACCAGGCUUAUUCCUGAGUGAAACACACCCUAAACAGAGCUUGCACUCCCUUUGCACUCCUAGGACCCCCUAACUGGGUAAAGAAUAGUCCCACCAUUAUCUAGCUCCUUGUAGUCAACCUCCCAUUCCUUUUCAAACUUUGUGGAUGACUUACCUAAGGCCUGUACAAUAUUCUGAAAACAAAUUAGAAAUCACCUUCUGGUUUUUCCAGAGGUGACUAAAUCCAAAGAGCGCUAGGAAAGUAAAGGACAUGAGGACAUGACGAUGUGAACAACAGUUCUGAGAUAACUAUGUCCAGCAGCAGUGUGGUGAGUUGCUGCUGCUGUUUUUCAUCCAUCAGCAAAGAUGAAAUCUUGGUCCUCUGCACGAGGCUCAGCGACCAAUGCAUACAUCUAUUGUUUGGUCCUGGAAGAACGGAAAGCUCUAGAGUCAGGCUGAAGACUUGCAGCAAUGCUGAUGUUUCACAGAGCCCAGAGAGAGCCACACAUUCGGGCUGACCUGUGCAUGCC
This is a long non-coding RNA of Bos taurus (domestic cattle), 1916 nucleotides long. The record is from Ensembl. Lineage: Eukaryota; Metazoa; Chordata; Mammalia; Artiodactyla; Bovidae.